GAGGAGUCGAAAGACCUGUCAAGUAUUUCUUUGGUAGAGUUUUUGAAUGCCUUGCAGGCACAGGAGCAAAGAAGACUGAUUAGGCAAGAAGGGUUUGUGGAAGGAGCUUUGUAGGCCAAACAACAAAUCCAAGGAGGCAAAGGCAAGAAGGGCAAAAAGAACAACUCAAACAAAAGUGAUGCUGGAGUUGGAAAUAGCAACAACAAAGGAGGAACUUACCCUC
This 223-nucleotide long non-coding RNA is filed under the name Elaeis guineensis (African oil palm). Its description in RNAcentral is "long non-coding RNA (EGUI_LNC027696)". The record is from RNAcentral. Lineage: Eukaryota; Viridiplantae; Streptophyta; Magnoliopsida; Arecales; Arecaceae.